CCAAUUCUAAUCCAAACAUUUUCUUGGAAUUUUGGAAACCGGAACGAAAAAUACUGUUCCAAAUUAGAUGUUUUCGGAUCGGAAUCGGAGGAAUUCGAAAAUUUCAUUACGAUUUCCAUCUAGUUGUGAUGCAAAUCAAAAUUUUAAUAGGACGCCUUUGUAAGACCUAAUUUGUUGAUGGCUUUUGAGUCUUGAACAAGAAGUCUUUUUCUAGUAUCGAUGCCUGUUUAGAAUUCUUGAUAGUACCCAGCUUUGAUUUCACAGAAUUCAGGCAUACUAAACAGGGUUUUCCAAUUUCAGAAUUCAGGCAAAUUUUGAUUUCUCAGAAAUAAACAUGGUAUAUCUAUUUCUCAGCUAUAUUCAUUUUACAGUUUGCAGCCAUGGCUGGUUCAAUGGGAGGUCAAUACUCGAAGAGCAAAAGAAAAUCUAAAUCAAACAAGUGUGACAAAUCCAACAUGAAGCCUGAAUGAAGUCUUCAGUUCAAUCGGGCAACAAUCCUGAUGAACCAAAAGACAAGAAUCCUCAGUCAAAUUAUACGCAACACCUCGUGCACCUAACAUCGAUCGAAUCGAAACUGCAAUGAACUAGGUAAUGAGAAUUCAAUAUAUGUUUCUUGUAAAUUGGAUGUAUAGGGCAGUGCUAAUGUUUCUUCUUCCACCACAGUUGGAGGAAGUUCGUUGAGAUGAAAACGAUGUUGGCUGUUUACAGAAGUUGAUGUGGUUUGAAUGGCACUCCGGCGACCUCAACAGCCACCAGCUCCAUUCUGACCUAGAUCCAUAUAUAGUAUAUACUAGCUAGUGAGAGGUAUAUACCGAGACUCAAAUUGCCCAAAUUACACCAUGCUGACACUGAAGCAUUUAAGUUGAAUGGAUCCGAGUCUGUGAAGGAGGUGGCAGAAAUUCUGAAGAGAAGAGAUAAUGCAUCAGAAAACUUUCCGACUUUGAGAAGCAGGUUAGCAAUUUGCAGUCACAGUGCGAGGAAGAAAAGCAGAGGUUGCUGCCAGCUGGAGCCAGAGUUGCUUCAAGCUAAGAGAAAAGCUGAGCCUCUGGCUCUGGCUCUGGCUCGUUCAAAGGGAGGUAAACACUCGAUGAACGAAGGCAGUUUCUUAAUCGAAUAGGUCUGGCACGUUGAACAAAGAUGGCACAUUUAACAAAGGAGCCUGAACUAUUCAGUUCUAAGUUUCCUUCAGCACAAUCGAGCAACAAUCCUGAUGGAACAAAGGAUUUAAAAGACAAGAAUCCUCAGUCAAAUGUAAUUCAAAGAUUCGCUGUUGAAAUCUGGAUAUAGUACGACAGAAGUAAGAAACAGCAAUCUUAAGUGCUGGGCAUAUCCAUGGUCGGAUGGAUAUUCUCAAUAAUAUUUUGACAAAUUUAAUCGCUUUUAAUGAGAAAAGGGUUGAACCAACAAGCAAAAUUUUCAAGAACAUGGAUGAGUUAUACAAAAGUAUGCUAGAAACCAUUGUUGGAUCUGCUAUAGACUCCGCCAGACAUGCAAAGGUCCGAUGCCAUAUGCCAUGUUUUAGGUGGACGCCCUUUGUCCGUAUUCUGCUAAGAGAAUUCAAUCUGAAUUGAAUGCCGAUCCAUCAUUAAAUAAGGGCGGGACUAUGAAAAGUGAGAAACUGUAUGCUGAAAAUCAUAUACGUUGAAGCUAAAAAAUGCUCAAUUUAGAGCCGACACUGAAGCGUUUAAGUUGAAUGGAUCCGAGUCUGAGAGGGAGGUGGCAGAAAUUCUGAAGAGAGGAAAAUGCAUGAGAAAACUUACCGAAUUAUAUCUACUAAUUAUCUAUGUAAAUGCUGGUUGUCUUGGUAAUUAAUUUAGUUUUCGUCUCUUUUGCAUUUCCAUUUGGUUCCCUAAUCAAAUUUAUUUGCUAGACAUAUUUCUGAGAGAAUCAUUCCCACUUGUAAAAAACAUGUCUUAUUUCCUGUAUUUGGAUCUCAUUGCACAAAAAAGAAGAAAAAUAAAAUAACAGUCCUACUAUGGACUACUUCUGUUUCGUAUUUAUUUUACACAAUAUCAUUGAGAAUAUCUCUGCAGUUAUUUGCCCGAUUCUUCUCUCUCACCAAUCCCAAAUUCCGGGGUGUAUUUUCUUCACUAAUACGAGUUUUAUCGAUUUUGGUUAAUGACCAGUGACAUUUUCAUCCGGUCUUAACAAUCCUUGUUGUCUGCGUCAUUUUUUCUCUUUCUCGAAGCUCCAAAUUCAUGGUAAGUUCCCUUUUCUCGUAUUUUGAUCAGUAUCAACAAAUUUCAAUGUAGUUAUGUUCCUAUAUAGUCUUGCACGUCGCAAUUAUGUUUUAUAUGCUCCUGUUUGUUGUCAUGUUGUUUGUGUGUUUGUUAUGCGUGGAAUUCGAUUCUAAAAGAUUGGAAGUUUUUUUGCGGUGUUAGGCCUGAAUAAUCGUUUUUAAAUUGCAUGAUAAGCAGCUGGUUUUUCUGUGUAUCUUACAGCGAGCAAACAUUUUAACUAACUAGUUCUGAGAAUUAGAUCAGAUUUUCCUUCUGAUAACGAGAGUCUGCAAAGAGUACAAAAAAAUUAUCAUUUGUUCUGUUUUGUUAAUAUUGCCUUCCAUAUCUUUCUUCUCUGAAUUCCUCUUGUAUACGAUUUUGAUUAUAUGUGACUCUAAUGAUACAUUAGAACUUGUUUUUUUUUUUUUUUGUGUCUUUUAUGGAUGCAUAGAAAUUCAUCACAUCAAUUUUUCUGGGGUUUUCGAGAAUGCUGCACACGUACAGAGGUCAGUAAUUUUUCUUCUUAUUCUUUAUUAAUCUUUUGUUGCACUCUUUUGUUUCUUCUCAUUGUGAUUAAGUGUCAAACUAUUUCGGAAAACAGUUUAGCAGGUUUCAUAAUUUCAACCCUAGAUUUCAUUCUCACUUACUCAUAAUGUCUUCAGUCAUAAUAUACAACACUGGCAUACACAAUAUAGAGGAGGUUCGAUUACUAAAACAUUUGACCAAAACAUUUCUUUUCUGGAGGGGCAAUGGCCCCUCCAAAGCACGCCUCGGUUACGCGCAUGCGCACAUUUUUACGAAAAUUGUCUAUAUAUGUCUUUAGAUUACCGCGCAUUAAAUUUGACCUUAUCUUGUUUCUAACGUCCGCGUCAUUCUUAUCUGGAACGCGGAAAAUCUUAUCUCCCCAUUAAAUGAAAGGAGAUCUUUUUGCCUAUAUAUAUAUUGGUUUUCUACAUUGUUCAUCUGCAACUUUCAUUUUGCUAUUUAUUCAGUGAGUGAGAAUUAGAAUAGGUUAAGAGAGUAAGCAAUCACUUGUUCUUUACGAGCAGUUGGCCAGAACCUUCCUAUCGGAGACUCGUCCCGGAAAGAUCUGUCGCAUUCGUUUUACAGCCAAUGGACUGUAAACACUCGAAGAGCAAAGGAGCAAAUCAAAUGGCACAACCAAUAAAAAAAGCCUCGAGUAUUCGAUUCCAAGUUUGCUUUGGCAGAAUCGAGCAACAAUACCGAUGGAUGAAAGAAUAUCAAGGACAAGAAUCCUCAGUCAAAUAUAACUUACAGAUUAGGUUCAAAUAUGCUGAAGCCGAAGAUUCUUUACUGAACUCCGGAUAUAAUACGACAGAUAUUAUAUUCAUAAGUGCUGGGCAUAUUCAUGGCCAGGGGAAUCUUCUGAAGAAUAUUCCGAUAAAUAUCGAGAAGCUUUCAAGAACAUGGGUGAGUUAUACAAAGUUAUGCUAGAAAGUAUCGUGCAGACUCGCCCUUGGUCCGUAUUUCUGCUAAGAGAAUUCGAUCUGCAUUUGAAUCCUGAAAUCGAUCAUUAAAGAAGGUCGGGUUAUGAAAAAAAGGGAUCAAUUUUUCACGCCUGCGUCAGAAUCUUAUUUCACGUGGAAUGUCCUUAGUGUCCAUGAAACGACAAAUCGAGGGAAAUUCAGAUGAACAGAAAACUACUGCUCAGAGACGUACUCAGAAGAAAACGAGAAACUGGAUGCUGAAAAAUCACACGUGGUGAAGCUGAAAAAUGGUCGAAUUAGAGGCGAUACUGAAGCGUUGAAGUUGAAUGGAUCCGAGUCUGAGAGGGAGGUGGCAGAAAUUCCGAAGAGAGAGAAAAUGAAUCGGAAAACUUAAUGAAUUAAAUCUACUAAUUAUCUAUGUAAAUGCUUGACUGUAUUAUUUGUAAUUAUUUUAGUUUUCCUCUAUUUUGCAUUUCCAUUUGUUUCCCUAAUUUCAGAAAAUCACGUACUCCCACCUUGUAAAAAAACACGUCUUUAGGCGAUCGGAUAAAUGUAUGUAUUAUUAAAAUUUGAAUCUCAUUUGC
Molecule: non-coding RNA, 4251 nt
Organism: Erythranthe guttata (spotted monkey flower)
Lineage: Eukaryota; Viridiplantae; Streptophyta; Magnoliopsida; Lamiales; Phrymaceae
Source: RefSeq, a predicted model, not a curated record